AUUCCCGCCUUCCCGAGUCUUUCACCGCUCUCUCUCUUUCUCUCGCUCGCUCUCUCUCUCUCAUUCUUUUCAUUCACCUCCUUCCAUCAUCAUGUCCGCUAUCACGUGCUACAAGUGUGGUGAGGCCGGCCACAUGUCGCGCAGCUGCCCGCGCGCCGCGGCGACCCGCUCUUGCUACAACUGUGGUGAGACCGGCCACAUGAGCCGCGACUGCCCCAGUGAGCGGAAGCCGAAGUCGUGCUACAACUGCGGCUCGACCGACCACCUGUCCCGCGAGUGCACGAACGAGGCCAAGGCCGGCGCCGACACCCGCUCUUGCUACAACUGCGGUGGCACGGGCCACCUGAGCCGCGACUGCCCGAACGAGCGCAAGCCGAAGUCGUGCUACAACUGCGGCUCGACCGACCACCUGUCCCGCGAGUGCCCGGACCGCCACUAGACGCAUGGUGCAAGGGCGGCAUUGUGAUCCCCCUGUCAUGUGUGAUGCAGUGUGAGUGCCUUGCCAGAGCAUGUGGCUAGCGCUGCGACAAGGAUGCGAAAAGGCAGGUUGAAGACAGGGCAGUGGGGAGCGGUGAAGGGGGUAUCCCACUGACACCGAAAAACAAAGGAACCCCUCCCUCCCCCCAAAGAAAAGAAAAAAGAGAUGCGUGGGAAUCACGUGGCGACGAGGAACCGUUAGGGCGAUCGCAGCGCAGAGAACCCAUCAAUCGCCAACACAGGAGAGACUCGUCAAUGUGGCACAAGACCAAAAGCAAAGGAAACGGAGCGAAAUACACAGCGAGGCACGUUCUUAAUGCUAUGUCUGUUUAAGUGCGCCGUGCUGACGGCUACGCUUCUCUUCACAGGUGCGCGCACAGGCUGGCGUCCGCCCCACCACUACUCUUUCGCUCUUUUGUUUUGUUUCUUUGUUUUGUGUGCUUUUAGAAAUCGCUCGAGGGCCGUGUGUUUUCGCGAGGUGUGCGCGCGCCAACGCUGCGGUAAGUAUAAGUGUCCGACGCCUUCCGAGUGUGCACGUCUUCCGCAAAGGAUAAGUUUCUCGCGCCAUAAUAUGGAUUAAGAAAAGGCGAACGAGAAAAGCAGUCCCCCAUCGUUGCUCCUCCCCUUGUUCUUCAGAUUUAUCUUUUCCGCAUGCUAAGAAUGGAAUGAGUUCUGUUUCAUCGUCGCCCUCUCUUGAUACAGAGCGAGGAUUCUGCAUGUGCGUGCGUGCGUGGUCGUAGGAGCGAGGGUGAUUUUUGUUUUCCUGCCCUCUCGCGUUCCCCCCCUUCGUGUCGGUAUGCGCAUGCUACUUGAGCGGCUUUCUCACAAUAGCGUUUCCUAGCCGGUGACCCUGUGAAGAGAGCUCAUGGGCUGGAGGAGAGCGAACGACGGAAGAGGAUGGCGGCGAAGAGGGACAGGAUAGAGACAGGUCACCUCCUCCCCCUCCGCACUCCUCACACCUCCCCCCUUUUUCCCACGCAUGCAACGAACGCACGCACGCAGACAAACGUAGACACAUACACACACACAUGCACAUACCCUUCGCAUUUACAGGAAUCAAGCAAUGCUUUUCUUUUUUUUUGUUGUUGGUUUUUCAUUUUCUCUUCCCUCCUUGGCUGUUCUAUGUUUCAGGCGCCUUUAGUUUCCUUCCUUCGUUGGCCCCAUAUGAUGAUGUGCGUUGCUGUUUCAUAUAUCGAAAAAAGCUUUCUUUUUUUUUAAAUAGGAUGUCCGGCUUGAUUUUGAUUUGAUGGAUUUGGUUUUCUGUGUGUGUAUCUUUCUCUCUCUCUGUGUGUGUGUAUGUAUGCCUGUGUAUUUGGAUUUUUGUCUUGUUUUGUUUUGUUCAUAACGGUGAGGUGCCUCAGGCAACACAUACACCUCACGUGCUGUUUCUUGCUCUUCUCCUUUUUUUGUUUCAGUCUGCCUUUUCACCACUAUUUUAUUUUUUUUUUGUUGUUGUUGAAAGGCACCUCAGGAGUUCACAAACCCACAAACUGAAAGGCGAAUAAACGAAAACGACGCACAUCUCCUGCGUGGCAAAUCUGAUGGAUGCUUUGCCGUGGCGCGCUCCCUCUGCCUUACCGGCCUCUGCUUUUGGGCACGUGAGCUGCCACCCUCGCUCGGUCUCUCUUCAUCGUGUGUGUGUGUGUGUGUGUGUGUGUCAUGAGUGGAUUCGAUGAUGCCUCUUUCUCGCUUCACCGCCGCGGACGGCGCAAUGAGUCACCGAAAGACCCCUGUUACAGUGCGGCGUACAAGUCGUCCACUCCUUCACUGACACACUUUAAAGCGGGAGAGAGAAGAGGGCAGCAGAGGCUGAAAAAGCAAGAUAGCAGGAUCUGCGCGCCACGUCGAAGGAAGAAUGAGGAGUACUCGAAGCUUGAGGAGUAUGCGACUGGGAACCAUGUGAAAACUUCUCGCACACUCCAUCACUGGCACGCAUUCACUGACACGCAUUCUCCGACACGCUCUUUCACUCGCAUACACAAGCGCUCACGGGGACAACGGAAGCAAAGACAGAUGCGCAAACAAAGAGUCAGCGAUGACAGCCACAGG
This 2526-nucleotide unclassified non-coding RNA is filed under the name Leishmania donovani. RNAcentral describes it as "gene:LdHU3.36.2190(CDS-product:Zinc_knuckle_putat ive)". Lineage: Eukaryota; Euglenozoa; Kinetoplastea; Trypanosomatida; Trypanosomatidae. The record is from RNAcentral.